RNAcentral lists this ribosomal RNA (473 nucleotides) under uncultured bacterium. RNAcentral describes it as "bacterial SSU rRNA". It matches the Rfam family "Bacterial small subunit ribosomal RNA", at positions 26 to 518 of the family's 1533-position model. The record is from RNAcentral.
AGGACGAACGCUGGCGGCGUGCUCAUACAUGCAAGUCGAACGAGAAAUUACCUUCGGGUAAUGGAAAGUGGCGGACGGGUGAGUAAAAUGUAGAGAAUCUGCCCUAGAGAGUGGGACAACAGAGGGAAACUUCUGCUAAUACCGCAUAUGAGCGUAGCUGGAAUGCUAUUCUUGAAAACUCCGGUGCUCUAGGAUGAGUCUGCAUCUGAUUAGCUAGUUGGGGGUGUAAUGGACCACCAAGGCGACGAUCAGUAGCUGGUUUGAGAGGAUGAUCAGCCACAAUGGGACUGAGACACGGCCCAUACUCCUACGGGAGGCAGCAGUAGGGAAUUUUGCGCAAUGGGGGAAACCCUGACGCAGCAAACCGCCGCGUGAUUGAAGAAGCCCUUCGGGGUGUAAAGAUCUGUCACAGGGGACGAAACAAUGACGGUACCCUGAGAGGAAGCAUCGGCUAACUCCGUGCCAGCAGCUGC